This 497-nucleotide ribosomal RNA is filed under the name uncultured bacterium. Its description in RNAcentral is "partial 16S ribosomal RNA". It matches the Rfam family "Bacterial small subunit ribosomal RNA", at positions 28 to 507 of the family's 1533-position model. The record is from RNAcentral.
GAUGAACGCUGGCGGCGUGCCUAAUACAUGCAAGUCGAGCGAACAGACGAGGAGCUUGCUCCUCUGACGUUAGCGGCGGACGGGUGAGUAACACGUGGAUAACCUACCUAUAAUACUGGGAUAACUUCGGGAAACCGGAGCUACUACCGGAUAAUAUAUUGAACCGCAUGGUUCAAUAGUGAAAGACGGUUUUGCUGUCACUUAUAGAUGGAUCCGCGCCGCAUUAGCUAGUUGGUAAGGUAACGGCUUACCAAGGCAACGAUGCGUAGCCGACCUGAGAGGGUGAUCGGCCACACUGGAACUGAGACACGGUCCAGACUCCUACGGGAGGCAGCAGUAGGGAAUCUUCCACAAUGGGCGAAAGCCUGACGGAGCAACGCCGCGUGAGUGAUGAAGGUCUUCGGAUCGUAAAACUCUGUUAUUAGGGAAGAACAAAUGUGUAAGUAACUAUGCACGUCUUGACGGUACCUAAUCAGAAAGCCACGGCUAACUACGUG